AUCGAACGCUGGCGGCAUGCCUUACACAUGCAAGUCGAACGGCAGCACGGGUGCUUGCACCUGGUGGCGAGUGGCGAACGGGUGAGUAAUAUAUCGGAACGUACCUUAUUGUGGGGGAUAACGCAGCGAAAGCUGUGCUAAUACCGCAUAAUCCCUAAGGGGGAAAGCGGGGGACCGCAAGGCCUCGCGCAAUUAGAGCGGCCGAUACCUGAUUAGCUAGUUGGUGAGGUAAAGGCUCACCAAGGCAACGAUCAGUAGCUGGUCUGAGAGGACGAUCAGCCACACUGGGACUGAGACACGGCCCAGACUCCUACGGGAGGCAGCAGUGGGGAAUUUUGGACAAUGGGAGCAACCCUGAUCCAGCAAUGCCGCGUGAGUGAAGAAGGCCUUCGGGUUGUAAAGCUCUUUUGUCAGGGAAGAAACAGCAGCUCUAACACAGUAUGCGAAUGACGGUACCUGAAGAAUAAGCACCGGCUAACUACGUGCCAGCCGCCGCCGUAA
This 501-nucleotide ribosomal RNA is filed under the name uncultured bacterium. RNAcentral describes it as "partial 16S ribosomal RNA". It matches the Rfam family "Bacterial small subunit ribosomal RNA", at positions 30 to 523 of the family's 1533-position model. The record is from RNAcentral.